CAAAGCUUACUUGCUGCUGUUUACUGUAGAUGUUGCAGUGCCACAGAGGAGCCACCCCAAACUCUUGUGAGACUUCACUAAGCAUGUGGCUAAGUCUCAUGAGGGACUUGGAGGGGGGUGACUAAGGAGUCUUUUGUAGCUGGUCCAGCCUCAUUCUGUGGACAGCCAUUGCUUGGUCUGGUACUCCCAGUGCCAGUGGCCACAGAUUUUCUUGUACGGCUGUUCAGGUGACACCACUCGCUUUCCUCUUUUGUUUGAAGUGUGGUGGCUGCUACACCUCAAACAAAAGAGAAAGGAACCCAAAGUGAUGCUCCACAGCUCGGCAGCACAAGGGGGGCAUGGAACAUGCAUUUGGCCACCCCUGUCAAUCUACUGCCUGAGACAAGUUGCUCAAUGUGCCUCAUGAUAGGAAUAACAAUAGUUUGCAAAGCCUUCACACAGCAGUGAAAUGGGCAAAAUGAAGGCAAUGGAUAGGGGGGUGACUUAAGAAAUCAGUAAUACCUGUCAGAAACCACAAAUGGUAGUAUGCAAAGCUUUUAUGUAGGAAGGAAACGGGCAGCUAAAAGGCAAAGAAUGGGAGUGGACCUGGUAGGCCUCAGAACAGACCCUUCCUAUAGUUUGCAGCUGUAAUUAGUUCAGCACAAGUCACCUGACCUGUCACAGCUGCAUUUGAUUGGCAACUGAAUUACCAAGCCUGAAAUCAGGCCCAGGCCAACCUAACUUGGGUUUUUUUUAAAAAGAGUGUUUCUUCUGUAAACAUGCAGCAAAACAGCAGCAGUAUGAAGGUAAGUGAGAAUAAAUUUCAUUCCAGAGUGUUGCUGAAAUGUUAGUCCACGCCUGCUGGCUUAGGGUUUGUUUUAGGUAUGUGAAAAUAAGUGGUGGAGUCUAACACUUUGUUCAGUUGUCUGAAUCUGGCAUCAUAAGGUAGUGAGUGAAAACAUUAGAAGUAGCUAUAGUUUGCUAACCUGAAAUGACUACUUUUUGUAUGUGUGUAAAAAUCCACUUCUGUUGGUGGGUUCACAGGAAUUAAUGUAAGGAAUCCAUGACAGUUUUGUGGUGUUUUUUCAGGGGUGGGGUGGGGGGACAAUCGCUAUUUCCCCUUUCCUACCAUGGUUACACUGCUGAUCAUUCAUUUUCACUCAAAUGUCUUCAUUUUCUAAUAAGAUUAUCUGGUGUGUGUGGAGGAAGAGGCGAGGGAGUUCAUUGCUUAAUUUGGAGUCUGAAAGCUUUCCUUAAACACAGAUAAGUUCUGAAGAAAUUAGUUUGGUCUUUUGAACAUGGCCUCCAAUAUUUUCAGUAUUGUGUGCUUUUUGAGGGUUAUAGCUAAUUUUACUUUAUUUCUUGCAUUUGGAUUAAUGUUUUAUAAUGAGCUUUGAGCUCUGGCACAAAAUUAAAUAAUGACAACAUGCCUUUUCAUCCCACUCAGCUCCAACUGAGUUUAAAAGAGCUCAUCUCGUGUCCAGGGGAACAUAAAAACUGCUUUUUAAUAGCAUCAGAGCUUGAAAUAGCCAGAUGUGCAAAUGUGAAACAGUCUACAGAGCAGCUUUUAAGCAGGAUCUAUGGUGGCAUUUGGGACAGUGUUCCAUGUCACUCUACUAAAAAUGUGACUCCUCUUGCUGUAAUCUUUGACAGUUCCAUGGUUGUCCUUCAGAGAAAUGUUUAAUGAGUUGUUGUUCUGUGUGUAAUAAUACCACUACAGCACCUAUUCAUGUGAAGCCUCUUUGUGAAAGAUAAGUCAUGCAUCUCCAGCUGUGCUAAGAGCUGUUUUAUAGGGCUGUAUGUAUGUUUGACCUGCAGAGAAAUCAUGUAAGCACUGUAAUUCCUCACUUCAGGGGAACAUGUGGCCUUCCUGAUGUUGUUGGAUUCCCAGCUCCUACCAUCCCCAAACAGCAUGACAGAGAUGAUGGAGGCUGCAGUCCCAGCAAAAUUUAGAGAAUUUAGAGAAUUCCCCCAUCCCUCCCUUACAUGCAGGCAUACAGUAUGGAAAAGAUGUUUCAGUUCCACAGGAGAAUUCUGGAGCCUGUGGCUUUUCAGGUGUUGUUGGACUUCAACUCCUAUCAUCCUCAGUCAGAAUGGCUAAUGGUCAGGAAUCCUGGAAGCUGCAGUUCAACAACAGCAGAAGGGCCACAGGUUCCCCAACCUUGUAGAGAAAUUGUGUCAGAAGUAACUCUGUAACUCCAUGUUACAACCUCUACAGAACCCCCUGAGACCCCCGGGUAAAGGGCGGUAUAUAAAUUCAAUAAACAACAAUAAUACAGAGCAAUUCUAUGUAUGCUCACUUAAAAGUACUUGGCCAACUCCCAGGUGAGUAGAGGCAUGCUACCUUAGACUGCCAAUGUAAACACAGCAAUAGUACCACGCUUGGUGCCAUUUUCAAGACCAACUGGAGAGCUAAAAUCCAAGGAAAGGGUCAACCAGUGCUUUUCAGCUGGGCCACAGCAACCAGCCUAUGUUUAAAAAACAAUAACACCUUAAACUCAGAACACAGUAAUAGCAUUUUCUUAACUUUGAAAACAAGAAAUAUUUUACAACAAUUUUUCUUCUAACAUAUAUAGGUAUAUUUUAGUUGCAGUAUGAUUUAUUAAUAAAGUAGUAUUAUGGGUGGAAUCCAACUUAGUUCUAUUUAAAGUAGACUCAGUGAAUGUAAUGGUUCUUAAGACAUGCACAUUAAUUUCCAAUGGGUUUACUCUGAAUAAGGCUAACAUUGGAUACAACUGGGUUUUUGUGUGUGGAAGUUACUAGGGAUAGGCAACACAGCUUAAAAACAAAGCAAAAACCCACACGCUAGAGGCGUGAUCUUGUACCAGAAAUAGCUCUGCUAACUGCUGUAGCUACAGGAAAUUUAGAACCAUGGAAAAAUGAAAGUGGAAUAAACCAACUGGAAUAAGUUGAUAAGGGAUGGUGCAAUGGUAGGAUACACCAUAUCAGUUUGACAAUCAGGGUGGUAGAAGAUGGCACAGUCUGAAUCCUGCCAAUAGACUUGAGCAGAGCAAUUCAGUGAGGGGAUGGAGAGAAUAUCUGGCAGUAAAGCCACCAUUUUCUGAGCCCCACAGGUUUUACACCAACUAGGCAGAAGCUGGCAGGAAAGAAGCACACUGACUCCUGGACAAAUGGGAAAUCCACUCUGAUAUGCUCUCCUUUUGUCCUCUCCUCUGGAGCAGUGACAACAGAGAGGCAAUGACAGAGGUCCUUUCCAUGGUGGCUGGGAUUCCAAGGGCAUACCUGCCUCUCUACCCAUAAAGAGAGAGGGUCCUAUAGUCUUCUCAGACGCCCUCCCAGGAACCACAAGGUUGUCUACCAAUUCUCCUUUGAGAUGCAUGCAAACAAAAGACAAAAUCCCGUGCGUUUUACAGUGGACACAAUUAUUAUUAUUAUUAUUAUUUAAGCCUGAGAGGCCUUAAGACCUUACAUAUUCAAUUUUUGCAAAGUAUAUUUUUACAACCAGUUUAGAAGCACUUGCUUAACUGCCCUUUGAAUAUAGUGGUGCUAGUUGUUAACUAUAAAAUAUCAUACAGUAGCAAGUCUGUAAAUACAAAGAUACGAAGUAUAUUGGUCUAAUAAUUCCUGCUGAUUGCCUGUGUUGAGAAUCUGUGUAGUAUUCGCUAGGGCACACAGUGUGGUGCAUAUUAAACUGUAAACCUUUGCACAAUCUUUGAGCAACAAGAUACCACUGUAUUACUUACGUACUAGCCACAAUCUGAGAGUAAUGUAAAUAUGCUUUUAGUGCCAUUAAUUAUCUGUGGAAUUUAAACACACACACACCCUUAACUUUGGGUGGCCAAUUUUUAUUAGAAUUAUUGCAAUGUUUUUCAAGUAGCAGUUGUUAUUUGUGACAUCUUAAAUCUACUGCUGCAAAUGUUUUCUAUUACAAUGUCUUUGUUGUACUAUAUAUCCAAUGGCUGAUUUUUUUGCAGUAGCGUGUUUGUCUUGUGGAUAUGGUAAAAACAAGCACUGUAUUCACUAUUGGAGGCUGAACCAUAUGGCAUUUUUUAAUUGUUUUACUGUUUGGAACUGUCUCAAUCCUUCUCCUGCUGAAAUUUUGACAAAUGAUAAUGCAGAACCUUAAUAACUACAGCUUUGAAUGCAACUUAACUUCCAUAAGCAUCAAAAUUCAUGAAGCUAGCACACACUUUUUCCAUAGUAACAUUACUAUGAGCAUAUUUAAGACAAAAUGACUAAUUUCUACCUUUACUCAUGUAUUAUAACGUUCAGUAAAUAUGACUCAGUUUAAUAU
Molecule: non-coding RNA, 4234 nt
Organism: Podarcis lilfordi (Lilford's wall lizard)
Lineage: Eukaryota; Metazoa; Chordata; Lepidosauria; Squamata; Lacertidae
Source: the annotation of a GenBank genome assembly